AGGGUUCGAUUCUGGCUCAGGACGAACGCUGGCGGCGUGCCUAACACAUGCAAGUCGAGCGGGGACAUUGCGACGGAGACGAAGUAUCGUACGGAGUCAAAGAUGUAAUGUCUAGCGGCGGACGGGUGAGUAACGCGUGAGCAACCUGUCCCUUACAGGGGGAUAACACAGCGAAAGUUGUACUAAUACCGCAUAAGACCACAGGAUGACAUCGUCCAGGGGUCAAAGGAGCAAUCCGGUAAGGGGUGGGCUCGCGUCCGAUUAGAUAGUUGGUGAGGUAACGGCCCACCAAGUCGACGAUCGGUAGCCGACCUGAGAGGGUGAUCGGCCACAUUGGGACUGAGACACGGCCCAAACUCCUACGGGAGGCAGCAGGUGGGGAAUAUUGGGCAAAGUGGGGGAAACCCUGACCCAGCAACGCCGCGUGAGGGAAGAAGGUUUUCGGAUCGUAAACCUCUGUCCCAGGUGAAGAGGAAGAGACGGUAGCCUGGGAGGAAGCCCCGGCUAACUACGUGCCAGCCGCCGC
Molecule: ribosomal RNA, 526 nt
Filed under: uncultured bacterium
Lineage: Bacteria
Description: bacterial SSU rRNA
Rfam family: Bacterial small subunit ribosomal RNA
Source: RNAcentral